CUUUAAGUACCGACGUGCGGUCUGAGAGGCCCCGGCAGGUACUUGAUUUGUUAGAUUACCCUUUCCCCCGCACAAUACCAAUCCCUGCUUUUAAGUAGCUGUAAGUUUAGUGCCCAUGUUGACGUUGGAACAGGCAGUGUUGUUGUCACAUGUGUAUUUGAUAUUAUGAACUAUGGAUAUAACAGGGACUUCCCCUAAUAAGCAAAAUAGUUGUGUGACAGAUUUACAACAAUCAAAGAGAUCUCGGACAUGUAUAAAUACACUGAAUCCAAAUAGUGAUUGAGAGCUGGCUAGCGGAUGAGGAUUCCAGCGGAUCAGAGGUAGACAACGUUGGCCAAGAUUUUUGUCCAGAGCUGAGGAAGUCAAGACACGAAAUACAUGUCUUUCAUGUAAACCUAAAUUGAAAAGAAAAUCAACUUAUAAAUGCAAUUCGUGCUAAAACACGUUUGUUUGCAGUGCGCGAAACAAGUAUGCCCUGACUGUGUCUAGAAUUGAAGGUGUAGUUGGACUGUGGACAUUUUUUUUUUCAGAAGGUUUAUGUUCUUACUAAAUUUUUUUUCUAAGAGUUAUAUUAGUCGUAAGUGAGAAAUACUAUUUGUUGUUAUUCUGAGAGGAGUAUUUUUUAUGUUUUGGUUUUUUAUAACGAAUAGUCUGAUUUUUCCCCAAAAUUCAAGCCAAAUAUUAUUGUAGUCUUAUAUUCAAAAAAAUAAUAAAGUUGAUUACCUUUC
Long non-coding RNA from Helicoverpa armigera (cotton bollworm), 728 nucleotides. RefSeq lists it as uncharacterized. NCBI's taxonomy places the organism in Eukaryota, Metazoa, Arthropoda, Insecta, Lepidoptera, Noctuidae. The record is from RefSeq and is a predicted model, not a curated record. The transcript is spliced from 2 exons.